RNAcentral lists this unclassified non-coding RNA (3337 nucleotides) under Hevea brasiliensis (rubber tree). The record is from RNAcentral. Lineage: Eukaryota; Viridiplantae; Streptophyta; Magnoliopsida; Malpighiales; Euphorbiaceae.
CUCUGUCUCUCUCUCUCUCUCUCGCCAACAACCGAGAACAGGGUAGGAUGGUAGACACUGCAAGCACGUGCCUCAAUCUCUCUAUGUUUUCCAUGGAAAUUUGCCUCUAAUUUUCUCAUUUUUCACGGUCAGAAGUCAUUCUAAGAAAGCCUCUCUUUUAUUUUGUCUUGUUCCCUGUUCUUUUCUUAUCUUCGAUGAUCGUCAGUUAGCCGUGACCCAGAUCAGUUUAUGUCCGUCUUGAGUUUUAUUUUUUUCCUGGGUCUCCAUUAUUUACUUGCAACUUUCAAUAUAAGCUCUGCUCAGCGGUGUUUGGACUCUGUAUUGAUUCCUCAUCUCCUGCAUAUAAUCUUCUUUUUUUUUGUCAAAGUUGUCCUCUUGUUUAUGUUGUUUUAUGCAAUUUGUAUUUUCUGCCCUUCUCUCAUGCUUCUAUUUGAAUUCCAUUAGUGUUUUUCAUUUUCACAUUGUAAGGAAACUUUGAUUGGGUGAUCCCUAUGUCUAGUGUUCACACUACUUACAAGCUUUUAAUCAACUGACUUAUUGUGAUCUUGGUCAAUAUAUACCUCUUUGUCUUUCAAUUGACUUCAUUUUUACCUGGUUGAGAUCUCAAUUUAUAGCUUAAAUGAGCCUUACAACUCAUUUUCUUAUGCUUUAGUUUCUACGCCCAUCUCAGAUUUUCAGUUCUUGCCUGUUGCCUCACUUCAAAUUGUGCCCUGGGUACUGCUGAUAGUCUAGUAGUACUGUUGUGCAAAUUUUUAGCAUUCAAUUUAACUCUCACAUUACAAGUUGACCCUGUUAUUUAGAUAAUCUAUAUAUUGUUCAGCAUCCUAGAAUUUACUUGCCCUUGGAUCCUUUUCGAUUCAUGCGCCAAAUCCUUGCCCAUUGAUAUAUGUUAGAAUACUCUAACUGUAGGCAUCAAUGUCAAUCUUAUGUGGCUUACCUCUCCUUGAGUGUGUCUACUGUCUAGCAUGUGCCCGCUGGGCAUGGAAACGUUGUCUCCAUUCCGCUGGUCAUGACAGUGAAACUUGGGGCCUUGCAACUGUAGAAGAAUUUGAGCCUGUUCCUCGCCUAUGUCGCUAUAUUCUAGCCGUUUAUGAAGAUGAUCUUCGGCACCCUAUGUGGGAGCCGCCUGGAGGGUAUGGAAUAAACCCAGAUUGGGUAAUUCUCAGAAAAACUUAUGAGGAUACUCUUGGAAGGGCCCCUCCCUAUAUAUUGUAUCUAGAUCAUGAUCAUUCCGAUAUAGUUCUUGCGAUCAGAGGCCUUAAUCUGGCAAAAGAAAGUGACUAUGCUGUGCUUUUGGACAAUAGACUGGGGAAAAGGAAAAUUGAUGGUGGUUACGUCCACAAUGGACUCUUGAAGGCUGCUGGGUGGGUUUUGGAUGCAGAGUGUGAGAUUUUGAAGGAGUUGGUAAAGAAGUAUCCAAAUUAUACUUUGACUUUUGCAGGACAUUCCCUUGGGUCUGGUGUAGCUGCGAUGUUGACAUUGGUGGUAGUGCUAAAUCGGGAUAAAUUGGGAAACAUUGAGAGAAGAAGGGUCAGGUGCUAUGCUAUUGCACCGGCAAGAUGUAUGUCGCUUAAUUUGGCAGUCAGAUAUGCAGAUGUUAUUAAUUCUGUUGUGCUGCAGGCAAGUAUUAUAAACUCUUACUUGUUUGGAGAAUUAUAUGAAUAAAAAUGCCUCUCAUGAUACCUCGGCAACUUUUAGUCUUUUCUUCAUUGGUUUUGCUUCUACAUUUUAUUUUGGAUGGUGUCACAAUUCUUGUUAGUUUGAAAUGGUUCUCGCUGUUUUUUCCUUCUAUUUUUCAUUCAUACUUGUUCAUUAUCAUAAUAAGUGUUCCCAACAUUUUUCUGUUUCGAACUUUGAGGAAAUGCUUUUCAAUUGGAAGUUAGGAUACUCCCAUACUUUGGGACUUCUAUUUUUCUAUCAUAGGUAAGGAGAAAAAAUUGUAAUAGAGGUGCAAAGGUGUUGAAGGGUUGCUGCAAAAAGAUAGCAAAGGUCUUGAAGGGUUGCUGCAAAAAGAUUAAGUUCUCACAUGCAAGACAACAGGGUGAGAAUAUUGUGUACACAUAAACACAAAAGUAUACGGUGAAAACAUUAAUUAUAGAAUUUUUGCUGUCUGGAGAGGAUUCAUGCUUAUAGAGAUGCUUACCUUGCUUAUCAUGGAGUUUUAUGUAGAAAUUCCUGAUGAAGUUGAUAAAGGACAAUGAAUUUUUGGUCUACAUCUCAAAAGAGGAUUUAUAUAUGUGCUGGAGUUUGAUGAGAACUAUAUCAUCGGUUAAGAUUUAGGAUAGAUCUCACAUACAAAUUUGUCAGUGCAUCCAACAUAUUGAAUGACGGGGUGUUCUUGUUUCCCAUUUGUAGUAAAUCCUUGGGGUAAUUAUCAAUGAUGAUGAGGCUUUAUAGAUGAUAUGGUUUCAUUAUGUUGCUAACCUGAAUAUAAGAAAUUGUUAGUCAUCAUAUUUUGAUAAAUUUAACUAUAUUUCACUGGAGCAGGAUGAUUUCUUACCACGGACGGCCACACCCUUGGAAGACAUUUUCAAGUCACUUUUCUGUUUGCCAUGCCUACUAUGUCUAAGGUGCAUGAGGGACACAUGUAUACCCGAAAAGCAUCUGCUCAAAGAUCCAAGGAGACUCUAUGCACCUGGUCGCCUCUAUCACAUUGUUGAGAGAAAACCUUUCAGAAUGGGAAGAUUCCCCCCAGUUGUGAGGACAGCAGUACCAGUGGAUGGCAGGUUUGAGCAUAUAGUUCUAUCCUGUAAUGCCACUUCUGACCACGCAAUCAUUUGGAUAGAGAGAGAAGCCACGAGGGCUCUGGAUCUAAUGCUGGAGAAAGAUCAUAUCAUGGAGAUCCCAGUAAAGCAAAGGAUGGAGCGGCAGGAGACUUUGGCCCGUGAACAUACUGAGGAGUACAAGGCUGCACUACAGAGAGCUGUUAUACUGGCUGUGCCGCAUGCAUAUUCACCUUCUCAGUAUGGAACUUUUGAUGAGCAAGAGGAAGGACUCAAAGGCGAUGAAUCACAAAUAUCAUCAAGUGGGGAAUCUUCUUUUGGUUCUUCAAGGAAAAGAAUGUCGAAAGAAAACUGGGAUGAAUUGAUCGAACGUCUAUUUGAGAAGGAUGAAUCUGGUCAUAUGGUGAUAAAAAAAUCACAUAGGAAUGAUUGAUAAUGAUGUAGCGGUGUAAGGAUAUCAUGAAAAAGAGUUGAGUAUGAGUUUGCGGCAAAAAGAGUUAUUCCUUGAUUCAUUUGUACAAUAAUUUUACUUCAAUUGAUUUUUGCAUUAGCUAAUGAAAUGAUUAAGUGUCUGUUUGGCAUUGUGUUUAGGGAAAUUGCUUUUCUGAAUAAAA